ACUAUUGCUCAUCAGUAUUUAUUACAUGUUAUCUGUUUACCAAUGUUUUCUUUUUCUUACCCAGGAAUUAUUUACUUAACGUCACCUCUUAGUCAUUUGGAAUCUACCACAAUUUCGUUGAUGGUCUCUGCUCAAGACGGUGGUGGGCUCACAGCUGUCAUUAAUGCCGACAUCACCAUACACAUUUUCCAGACAACUCUGGCACCUGCUGAGUUUGAAAGGCCUAAGUACACUUUCUUAGUUUAUGAAGAUGUGCCUGAAGAUAGUCCCAUUGGAACAGUGAAAGCAAGAGAGCCCUUGAGUAAGUACUUAUUUCUUAUGCUGCAUGGAAGUCCAUUAUUGGAACACUUCUUGUUUUUUCCUAGGCGGUACAAUCUUGAAUAAUUUUUUUCUUCUUUCCACACAAGUCAAAACAAGGGAGAUAACACAACCUGUGGGUUGCUCUUUGUUCUUCCAACAUUGUUUCUGUCCAUCCCACAAUUUUUUUUCUGACCACAAAAAUAAUAGGCAUUUUAAAAAGAAUGUUUAAAACAAUACAGAUUAUAAUAUACAAAAUAUAUGUCUCCUAUAACCCACUCACAAAAACACACACAUGCACACACAAUUUACAAAUUUUUGACAAAAAUGCAUCCUUCUGUAUUUGUUGUUAUAGAGCUUCUUUCCCCACUUAGUAUAUACUGAACAACUUUCCAGAUAACUGGAUGCCAUUCUGUCUCCUUAAAAGACAGUUUAUAGUAUUUCAACUUAGAUAUGUUUUAUGUUUACAUUUGUUACCAAUUUGAAUGAUUUAAAAAAUCUUUCUAGUCCAAAUAGUACUUGAGCAAAUAGCCAUGUGUGUCUUUUUCACACUUGUAGAGGAACCUCUGCAGGAUAAAUUCCUAGAAAUGAAUUACCUUUCCAAAGAGCUUGUCCUCCUCCUGGUCCCCUCCUGUUCCUUCCUCUCUCCCUUCCUUCAGUCUCUAUGGAGAGUAUUUGCCCUUCAUAGAUAGAUAUAAUAGAGAAACAUCAACAUAAAUUUAACUUGACUUCCUCAAAUAUAUAAAAAAAGGUACCCGAAUUAUUUUCUGAAUAUCUUUCCCUUUUAUCUAAUGCAAGAGGGAUGAAGGAAGAAAGUGAAACCUGUGGCUUGCUCUUUGCCCAUUGGGCAUUCUUUUAAUACACCAAAAAAUUCUUAAAACCAUGUAUCCACUUUUCAACAGGUUUUGGAGAGCGGAGGAAGUAAGACAUUGCACAGUAGUCUCUGUAGAUGGAGAACAUACAAUCACACGUCCUUAACGAUGGGAAAUGUUUUGAGAAAUGCCUCAUUCGAAAAUUUUGUCAGUGUGCAGACAUCACAGGGUGUACUCACACGAACCUAGAUGGUGUGGCCUACCAGACACCUAGGCUAAAUGUUAUAGUCGAUUGCUCCCAGGCUACAAACCUGCACAGCAUAUUACUGCACUUAAUACUGUAGGCAGUUGUACCCCAAUGGUAAGGAUUUAUGUAUGUGAACAUAGAAAAGGUACAAUAAAAUACGGCGUCAGAAUCUUACAGAACCAUCAUAGUAUAUGCGGUCCAUCAUUGACUGAAGUGUCAUUAGGCAGUGGAUGACUGUAUUAAUAUUUCAAUUUCUAAGUUUCCAGUGAGUCCACCCUUUUGACAUACAGUGGUUGUCCCCUCUUUCUUUUUCAGACUCCUCAGAACCAAUCUUUUACAGGAUUUCUUCUGGUGAUCUCGGCGGAAUGUUCUCCAUUCACCCGUGGCUGGGCACUAUUCGCACCCGGAAGCCCCUGGAUCACGAGACGCAGCCCGUGGUUGUGCUCACGGUGCAGGCGCAGCUCAGCAGCGCCCCAGCUUGCAGCAGCACGGAGGUCAACAUAACAGUCGUGGAUGUCAAUGACAACCACCCAGCGUUCCUCAGGACCUCGGAUGAGAUUAGAAUAUCCCAGACCACGGCCCCUGGCACAGCCUUGUACCUCGCACGUGCGGAAGACAGAGACAGUGGGCGGAACGGACUCAUCCAGUACUCCAUCGCCAGCCCGCAGCCGGGCGUCUUUGCCAUCGACAGAGCCCUGGGGGUGCUGUUCCUCAACGGCAGCCUGGGCGCGAGCAAGCACCGGGAGCUCGCGCUGACUCUCAGGGCCGAGGACCAAGGCGUGCCUCCUCAGGCAGCCCUGCUGGUGCUGACAGUCGUUAUCGAGAAACACGAACACAGCCCAUCCUGGGCUUUCGAACAUUUGGUUUAUCAAGUGGAAGUCAGUGAGUCUCUCUCACCGAUGACACAAAUACUGCAAACAC
Molecule: small RNA, 2277 nt
Filed under: Pongo abelii (Sumatran orangutan)
Lineage: Eukaryota; Metazoa; Chordata; Mammalia; Primates; Hominidae
Description: retained intron
Source: RNAcentral